Molecule: ribosomal RNA, 369 nt
Filed under: uncultured bacterium
Lineage: Bacteria
Description: bacterial SSU rRNA
Rfam family: Bacterial small subunit ribosomal RNA
Source: RNAcentral
GUAGGGUGCGAGCGUUAAUCGGAAUUACUGGGCGUAAAGCGUGCGCAGGCGGUUCUGAAAGUCAGCUGUGAAAGCCCCGGGCUUAACCUGGGAAUGGCGGUUGAAACUACAGGACUAGAAUCUGGCAGAGGGGGGUGGAAUUCCACGUGUAGCAGUGAAAUGCGUAGAGAUGUGGAGGAACACCGAUGGCGAAGGCAGCCCCCUGGGCUGAGAUUGACGCUCAGGCACGAAAGCGUGGGGAGCAAACAGGAUUAGAUACCCUGGUAGUCCACGCCCUAAACGAUGUCAACUAGGUGUUGGGAGCGCAAGUUCUUGGUACCGCAGCUAACGCGUGAAGUUGACCGCCUGGGGAGUACGGUCGCAAGAUUA